GGACGAACGCUGGUGGCAUGCUUCAGACAUGCAAGUUGAACGCUUUUUUCUUUUUAAGAAAGAGGAGUAGCGAACGGGUGAGUGACACGUGACUGACCUGCCCUCAAAUCUGGGAUAACCUUUUGAAAAGGAGGCUAAUACUGGAUAGUAUUGGGAGGUGAAGCUUCCAAUGGAAAGUGUUUUAGCGUUUGGGGAUGGGGUUGCGUUCCAUUAGCUUGUUGGUGGGGUAAAGGCUCACCAAGGCGAUGAUGGAGAGCGGUUCUGAGAGGGAGUACCGUCACACUGGAACUGAGACACGGUCCAGACUCCUACGGGAGGCAGCAGUCGGGAAUAUUGUUCAAUGGGGGCAACCCUGAAACAGCAAUGCCACGUGAGUGAAGAAGGUUUUCGGAUCGUAAAGCUCUUUUAUUGGGGAAGAGGUUGACAUGAACUGAUGAAGAAGCACCGGCUAACUACGUGCCAGCAGCCGCGGUAAUACGUAGGGUGCGAGCGUUGUUCGGAAUUACUGGGCGUAAAGGGCAUGUAGGCGGGGGAUCAAGCGAUGUGUGAAAUCCUGAGGCACAACUUCAGGCGUGCUUGUUGAACUGGUUUCCUAGAGAGGAUGAGAGGUUAGCGGAAUUUCCGGUGGAGAGGUGGAAUUCGUAGAGAUCGGAAGGAAUGUCGGUGGCGAAGGCGGCUGGCUGGCAUCACUCUGACGCUGAGGUGCGAAAGCGUGGGGAGCGAACAGGAUUAGAUACCCUGGUAGUCCACGCUGUAAACGAUGGAUACUAGAUGUUUUGAGUGUUAAAAGGCUUGGAGUGUCGUAGCUAACGCGUUAAGUAUCUCGCCUGGGGAGUACGGUCGCAAGACUAAAACUCAAAGGAAUUGACGGGGGCCCGCACAAGCGGUGGAACAUGUGGUUUAAUUCGACGCAACGCGAAGAACCUUACCCAGACUUGGCAUCCUGUGGUAGCUUUAGAGAUAGAGUGUUCUUUUCGGAGACACAGAGACAGGUGCUGCAUGGCUGUCGUCGGCUCGUGUUGUGAGAUGUUGGGUUAAGUCCCGCAACGAGCGCAACCCCUACUCUUAGUUGCUAGCAUGUGAUGAUGAGCACUUUAAGGGGACUGCCGGUGACAAGCCGGAGGAAGGUGGGGAUGACGUCAAGUCAUCAUGGCCUUGAUGUCUGGGGCUACACACGUGUUACAAUGGAAAUGACAGAGGGUUGCAAAAUUGUGAAAUGGAGCUAAUCCCUUAAAAGUUUUCUCAGUUCGGAUUGUAGUCUGCAACUUGACUGCAUGAAGUUGGAAUCGCUAGUAAUCGCAGAUCAGCAUGCUGCGGUGAAUACGUUCCCGGGCCUUGUACACACCGCCCGUCACACCAUGGGAGUGGAUUAGGGCAGAAGCCAUUGAACUAACCGUAAGGGGGUAGAUGUCUAAGCUCUAGUUGACGACUGGGGU
RNAcentral lists this ribosomal RNA (1436 nucleotides) under uncultured bacterium. RNAcentral describes it as "bacterial SSU rRNA". It matches the Rfam family "Bacterial small subunit ribosomal RNA". The record is from RNAcentral.